UGCCAGACUCCUACGGGAGGCAGCAGUGGGGGAUAUUGCACAAUGGGGGGAACCCUGAUGCAGCGACGCCGCGUGGGUGAAGGAGUAUUUCGGUAUGUAAAGCCCUAUCGGCAGGGAAGAAGCAAGACGGUACCUGACUAAGAAGCCCCGACUAACUACGUGCCAGCAGCCGCGGUAAUACGUAGGGGGCGAGCGUUAUCCGGAUUCACUGGGUGUAAAGGGAGCGUAGACGGCCAAGCAAGCCAGGGGUGAAAGCCCGGGGCCCAACCCCGGGACUGCUCUUGGAACUGCGUGGCUAGAGUGCAGGAGGGGCAGGCGGAAUUCCUGGUGUAGCGGUGAAAUGCGUAGAUAUCAGGAGGAACACCGGCGGCGAAGGCGGCCUGCUGGACCGUGACUGACGUUGAGGCUCGAGAGCGUGGGGAGCAAACAGGAUUAGAUACCCCCGUAA
This 448-nucleotide ribosomal RNA is filed under the name uncultured bacterium. RNAcentral's name for it is "partial 16S ribosomal RNA". It matches the Rfam family "Bacterial small subunit ribosomal RNA", at positions 329 to 793 of the family's 1533-position model. The record is from RNAcentral.